This 468-nucleotide ribosomal RNA is filed under the name uncultured bacterium. RNAcentral's name for it is "partial 16S ribosomal RNA". It matches the Rfam family "Bacterial small subunit ribosomal RNA", at positions 28 to 507 of the family's 1533-position model. The record is from RNAcentral.
GACGAACGCUGGCGGCGUGCUUAACACAUGCAAGUCGAACGGAAAGGCCCUGCUUUUGUGGGGUGCUCGAGUGGCGAACGCGUGAGUAACACGCGAGUAACCUGCCCCUGACUUUGGGAUAACUUCAGGAAACUGGGGCUAAUACCGGAUAGGAGCUCCUGAUGCAUGGUGGGGGAUGGAAAGUUUCGGCGGUGGGGGAUGGACUCGCGGCUUAUCAGCCUGUUGGUGUAGUAGUGGCUUACCAAGCUUUUGACGGCUACCCUGCCUGAGAGGGGUACCGGCGACAUUGGGACUGAGGUACGGCCCAGACGCCUACGGGAGGCAGCAGUGGGGAGUAUUGCACAGUGAGGGGGAGCCUGAUGCAGCGACGCCGGGUGCGGGAUGACGGCCUACUGGUUAUAAACCACUUUCUCCUGUGACGAAGCGUGAGUGACGGUAAUGGGUAAAAAAGCACCGGCUAACUACGUG